This 11948-nucleotide long non-coding RNA is filed under the name Citrus x clementina. Its description in RNAcentral is "Citrus clementina (C. clementina) long non-coding RNA (CCLE_LNC006027)". Lineage: Eukaryota; Viridiplantae; Streptophyta; Magnoliopsida; Sapindales; Rutaceae. The record is from RNAcentral.
GCCUUGGAGGGGGGCGCGGCCGAUUUUCGUCCGCCGGACUCGGAAUGGGGCGAGACUUUGCGAGGGGCCUCGGAGUGCCAAAAAUAAGCCGCGGGCAAAGCCGCGCCCAAAAAUAAGUGCCCGAAGGUCGUGGUGCCAAAACCCCCCAGCGGAAAAAUGGCCAAAAAACGGGUGGGCUAUAGCCUUGGUGGUGGGCGCGGGCAAAGUUCGUCCGCCGGACUCGGAAUGGGGCGAGACUUUGCGAGGGGCCUCGGGGUGCCCGCGGGAAGUCGCGGGCACAGCCGCGUCCAAAAACAAGCGCCCGAAGGUCGUGGUGCCAAAACCCCCCAGCGGAAAAAUGGCCAAAAAACGGGUGGGCUAUAGCCUUGGUGGGGGGCGCGGGCGAAGUUCGUCCGCCGGAUUCGGAAUGGGACGAGACUUUGUGAGGGGCCUCGGGGCACCAACAAUAAGCCGCGGGCAAAGCCGCUCCCAAAAAUAAGCGCCCGAAGGUCGUGGUGCCAAAACCCCCCAGCGGAAAAAUGGCCAAAAAACGGGUGGGCUAUAGCCUUGGUGGGGGGCGCGGGCGAAGUUCGUCCGCCGGACUCGGAAUGGGGCGAGACUUUGCGAGGGGCCUCGGGGUGCCAAAAAUAAGCCGCGGGCAAAGCCGCGCCCAAAAAUAAGCGCCCGAAGGUCGUGGUGCCAAAACCCCCCAGCGGAAAAAUGGCCAAAAAACGGGUGGGCUAUAGCCUUGGUGGGGGGCGCGGGCGAAGAUCAUCCGCCGGACUCGGAAUGGGGCGAGACUUUGCGCGGGGCCUCGGGGCGCCAAAAAUAAGCCGCGGGCAAAGCCGCGCCCAAAAAUAAGUGCCCGAAGGUCGUGGUGCCAAAACCCGCCAGCGGAAAAAUGGCCAAAAAACGGGUGGGCUAUAGCCUUGGUGGGUGGCGCGGGCGAAGUUCGUCCGCCGGACUUGGAAUGGGGCGAGACUUUGUGAGGGGCCUCGGGGUGCUCGCGGGAAGUCGCGGGCACAGCCGCGUCCAAAAAUAAGCGCCCGAAGGUCGUGGUGCCAAAACCCCCCAGCGGAAAAAUGGCCAAAAAACGGGUGGGCUAUAGCCUUGGUGGGGGGCGCGGGCGAAGUUCGUCCGCCGGACUCGGAAUGGGGCGAGACUUUGCAAGGGGCCUCGGGGUGCCAAAAAUAAGCCGCGGGCAAAGCCGCGCCCAAAAAUAAGUGCCCGAAGGUCGUGGUGCCAAAACCCCCCAGCGGAAAAAUGGCCAAAAAACGGGUGGGCUAUAGCCUUGGUGGGCGGCGCGGGCGAAGUUCGUCCGCCGGACUCGGAAUGGGGCGAGACUUUGCGAGGGGCCUCGGGGUGCCAAAAAUAAGCCGCGGGCAAAGCCGCGCCCAAAAAUAAGUGCCCGAAGGUCGUGGUGCCAAAACCCCCCAGCGGAAAAAUGGCCAAAAAACGGGUGGGCUAUAGCCUUGGUGGUGGGCGCGGGCGAAGUUCGUCCGCCGAACUCGGAAUGGGGCGAGACUUUGCGAGGGGCCUCGGGGUGCCCGCGGGAAGUCGCGGGCACAGCCGCGUCCAAAAACAAGCGCCCGAAGGUCGUGGUGCCAAAACCCCCCAGCGGAAAAAUGGCCAAAAAACGGGUGGGCUAUAGCCUUGGUGGGGGGCGCGGGCGAAGUUCGUCCGCCGGACUCGGAAUGGGGCGAGACUUUGCGAGGGGCCUCGGGGUGCCCGCGGGAAGUCGCGGGCACAGCCGCGCCCAAAAAUAAGCGCCCGUAGGUCGUGGUGCCAAAACCCCCCAGCGGAAAAAUGGCCAAAAAAUGGGUGGGCUAUAGCCUUGGUGGGGGGCGCGGGCGAAGUUCGUCCGCCGGACUCGGAAUGGGGCGAGACUUUGCGAGGGGCCUCGGGGUGCCCGCGGGAAGUCGCGGGCACAGCCGCGUCCAGAAAUAAGUGCCCGAAGGUCGUGGUGCGAAAACCCCCCAGCGGAAAAAUGGCCAAAAAACGGGUGGGCUAUAGCCUUGGUGGGGGGCGCGGGCGAAGUUCGUCCGCCGGACUCGGAAUGGGGCGAGACUUUGCAAGGGGCCUCGGGGUGCCAAAAAUAAGCCGCGGGCAAAGCCGCGCCCAAAAAUAAGUGCCCGAAGGUCGUGGUGCCAAAACCCCCCAGCGGAAAAAUGGCCAAAAAACGGGUGGGCUAUAGCCUUGGUGGGGGGCGCGGGCGAAGUUCGUCCGCCGGACUCGGAAUGGGAUGAGACUUUGCGAGGGGCCUCGGGGCACCAAAAAUAAGCCACGGGCAAAGCGGCGCUCAAAAAUAAGCGCCCAAAGGUCGUGGUGCCAAAACCCCCCAGCGGAAAAAUGGCCAAAAAACGGGUGGGCUAUUGCCUUGGUGGGGGGCGCGGGCGAAGUUCGUCCGCCGGACUCGGAAUGGGGCGAGACUUUGCGAGGGGCCUCGGGGUGCCCGCGGGAAGUCGCGGGCAUAGCCGCGCCCAAAAAUAAGCGCCUGAAGGUUGUGGUGACAAAACCCCCCAGCGGAAAAAUGGCCAAAAAACGGGUGGGCUAUAGCCUUGGUGGGGGGCGCGGGCGAAGUUCAUCCGCCGGACUUGGAAUGGGGCGAGACUUUGCGAGGGGCCUCGAGGUGCCCGCGGGAAGUCGCGGGCACAGCCGCGUCCAGAAAUAAGUGCCCGAAGGUCGUGGUGCCAAAACCCCCCAGCGGAAAAAUGGCCAAAAAACGGGUGGGCUAUAGCCUUGGUGGGGGGCGCGGGCGAAGUUCGUCCGCCGGACUCAGAAUGGGGCGAGACUUUGCGAGGGGCCUCGGGGUGCCCGCGGGAAGUCGCGGGCACAGCCGCGUCCAGAAAUAAGCGCCCGAAGGUCGUGGUGCCAAAACCCCCCAGCGGAAAAAUGGCCAAAAAACGGGUGGGUUAUAGCCUUGGUGGGGGGCGCGGGCGAAGUUCGUCCCGCCGGACUCGAAAUGGGGCGAGACUUUGCGAGGGGCCUCGGGGCACCAAAAAUAAGCCGCGGGCAAAGCCGCGCCCAAAAAUAAGCGCCCGAAGGUCGUGGUGCCAAAACCCCCCAGCGGAAAAAUGGCCAAAAAACGGGUGGGCUAUAGCCUUGGUGGGGGGCGCGGGCGAAGUUCGUCCGCCGGACUCGGAAUGGGACGAGACUUUGCGAGGGGCCUCGGGGGGCGAAAAAUAAGCCGCGGGCAAAGCCGUGCCCAAAAAUAAGCGCCCGAAGGUCGUGGUGCCAAAACCCCCCAGCGGAAAAAUGGCCAAAAAACGGGUGGGCUAUAGCCUUGGUGGGGGGCGUGGGCGAAGUUCGUCCGCCGGACUCGGAAUGGGGCGAGACUUUGCGCGGGGCCUCGGGGCACCAAAAAUAAGCCGCGGGCAAAGCCGCGCCCAAAAAUAAGCGCCCGAAGGUCGUGGUGCCAAAACCCCCCAGCGGAAAAAUGGCCAAAAAACGGGUGGGCUAUAGCCUUGGUGGGGGGCGCGGGCGAAGAUCAUCCGCCGGACUCGGAAUGGGGCGAGACUUUGCGCGGGGCCUCGGGGCGCCAAAAAUAAGCCGCGGGCAAAGCCGCGCCCAAAAAUAAGUGCCCGAAGGUCGUGGUGCCAAAACCCGCCAGCGGAAAAAUGGCCAAAAAACGGGUGGGCUAUAGCCUUGGUGGGGGGCGUGGGCGAAGUUCGUCCGCCGGACUCGGAAUGGGGCGAGACUUUGCGCGGGGCCUCGGGGCACCCAAAAUAAGCCGCGGGCAAAGCCGCACCCAAAAAUAAGCGCCCGAGGGUCGUGGUGCCAAAACCUCCCAGCGGAAAAAUGGCCAAAAAACGGGUGGGCUAUAGCCUUGGUGGGGGGCGCGGGUGAAGUUCGUCCGCCGGACUUGGAAUGGGGCGAGACUUUGCGAGGGCCCUCGGGGUGCCCGCGGGAAGUCGCGGGCACAGCCGCGUCCAGAAAUAAGCGCCCGAAGGUCGUGGUGCCAAAACCCCCCAGCGGAAAAAAGGCCAAAAAACGGGUGGGCUAUAGCCUUGGUGGGGGGCGCGGGCGAAGUUCGUCCGCCGGACUCGGAAUGGGGCGAGACUUUGCGAGGGGCCUCGGGGUGCCCGCGGGAAGUCGCGGGCACAGCCGCGUCCAGAAAUAAGCGCCCAAAGGUCGUGGUGCCAAAACCCCCCAGCGGAAAAAUGGCCAAAAAACGGGUGGGCUGUAGCCUUUGGUGGGGGGCGCGGGCGAAGAUCGUCCGCCGGACUCGGAAUGGGGCGAGACUUUGCGCGGGGCCUCGGGGCGCCAAAAAUAAGCCGCGGGCAAAGCCGCGCCCAAAAAUAAGUGCCCGAAGGUCGUGGUGCCAAAACCCGCCAGCGGAAAAAUGGCCAAAAAACGGGUGGGCUAUAGCCUUGGUGGGGGGCGUGGGCGAAGUUCGUCCGCCGGACUCGGAAUGGGGCGAGACUUUGCGCGGGGCCUCGGGGCACCCAAAAUAAGCCGCGGGCAAAGCCGCACCCAAAAAUAAGCGCCCGAAGGUCGUGGUGCCAAAACCUCCCAGCGGAAAAAUGGCCAAAAAACGGGUGGGCUAUAGCCUUGGUGGGGGGCGCGGGUGAAGUUCGUCCGCCGGACUUGGAAUGGGGCGAGACUUUGCGAGGGGCCUCGGGGUGCCCGCGGGAAGUCGCGGGCACAGCCGCGUCCAGAAAUAAGCGCCCGAAGGUCGUGGUGCCAAAACCCCCCAGCGGAAAAAAGGCCAAAAAACGGGUGGGCUAUAGCCUUGGUGGGGGGCGCGGGCGAAGUUCGUCCGCCGGACUCGGAAUGGGGCGAGACUUUGCGAGGGGCCUCGGGGUGCCCGCGGGAAGUCGCGGGCACAGCCGCGUCCAGAAAUAAGCGCCCAAAGGUCGUGGUGCCAAAACCCCCCAGCGGAAAAAUGGCCAAAAAACGGGUGGGCUGUAGCCUUGGUGGGGGGCGCGGGCGAAGUUCGUCUGCCGGACUCGGAAUGGUGUGAGACUUUGCGAGGGGCCUCGGGGUGCCCGCGGGAAGUCGCGGGCACAGCCGCGCCCAAAAAUAAGCGCCCGAAGGUCGUGGUGCCAAAACCCCCCAGCGGAAAAAUGGCCAAAAAACGGGUGGGCUAUAGCCUUGGUGGGGGGCGCGGGCGAAGUUCGUCCACCGGACUCGGAAUGGGGCGAGACUUUACGAGGGGCCUCGGGGUGCCCGCGGGAAGUCGCGGGCACAGCCGCGUCCAGAAAUAAGCGCCAGAAGGUCGUGGUGCCAAAACCCCCCAGCGGAAAAAUGGCCAAAAAACGGGUGGGCUAUAGCCUUGGUGGGGGGCGCGGGCGAAGUUCGUCCGCCGGACUCGGAAUGGGGCGAGACUUUUCGCGGGGCCUCGGGGCGCCAAAAAUAAGCCGCUGGCAAAGCCGCGCCCAAAAAUAAGCGCCCAAAGGUCGUGGUGCCAAAACCCCCCAGCGGAAAAAUGGCCAAAAAACGGGUGGGCUAUAGCCUUGGUGGGCGGCGCGGGCGAAGUUCGUCCGCCGGACUCGGAAUGGGGCGAGACUUUGCGAGGGGCCUCGGGGUGCCCGCGGGAAGUCGCGAGCACAGCCGCGUCCAAAAAUAAGCGCCCGAAGGUCGUGGUGCCAAAACCCCCCAGCGGAAAAAUGGCCAAAAAACGGGUGGGCUAUAGCCUUGGUGGGGGGCGCGGGCGAAGUUCGUCCGCCGGACUCGGAAUGGGGCGAGACUUUGCGAGGGGCCUCGGGGUGCCAAAAAUAAGCCGCGGGCAAAGCCGCGCCCAAAAAUAAGCGCCCGAAGGUCGUGGUGCCAAAACCCCCCAGCGGAAAAAUGGCCAAAAAACGGGUGGGCUAUAGCCUUGGUGGGGGGCGCGGGCGAAGUUCGUCCGCCGGACUCGGAAUGGGGCGAGACUUUGCGCAGGGCCUCGGGGUGCCAAAAAUAAGCCGCGGACAAAGCCGCGCCCAAAAAUAAGCGCCCGAAGGUCGUGGUGCCAAAACCCCCCAGCGGAAAAAUGGCCAAAAAACGGGUGGGCUAUAGCCUUGGUGGGGGGCGCGGGCGAAGUUCGUCCGCCGGACUUGGAAUGGGGCGAUACUUUGCGAGGCGCCUCGGGGUGCCCGCGGGAAGUCGCGGGCACAGCCGCGUCCAGAAAUAAGUGCCCGAAGGUCGUGGUGCCAAAACCCCCCAGCGGAAAAAACGCCAAAAAACGGGUGGGCUAUAGCCUUGGUGGGGGGCGCGGGCGAAGUUCGUCCGCCGGACUCGGAAUGGGGCGAGACUUUGCGAGGGGCCUCGGGGUGCCCGCGGGAAGUCGCGGGCACAGCCGCGUCGAGAAAUAAGCGCCCGAAGGUCCUGCUGCCAAAACCCCCCAGCGGAAAAAUGGCCAAAAAACGGGUGGCCUAUAGCCUUGGUGGGGGGCGCGGGCGAAGUUCGUCCGCCGGACUCGGAAUGGGGCGAGACUUUGCGAGGGGUCUCGGGGUGCCAAAAAUAGGCCGCGGGCAAAGCCGCACCCAAAAAUAAUCGCCCAAAGGUCGUGGUGCCAAAACCCCCCAGCGGAAAAAUGGCCAAAAAACGGGUGGGCUAUAGCCUUGGUGGGGGGCGCGGGCGAAGUUCGUCCGCCGGACUCGGAACGGGGCGACACUUUGCGAGGGGCCUCGGGGUGCCAAAAAUAAGCCACGGGCAAAGCCGCGCCCAAAAAUAAGCGCCCGAAGGUCGUGGUGCCAAAACCCCCCAGCGGAAAAAUGGCCAAAAAACGGGUGGGCUAUAGCCUUGGUGGGGGGCGCGGGCGAAGUUCGUCCGCCGGACUCGGAAUGGGGCGAGACUUUGCGCAGGGCCUCGGGGCGCCAAAAAUAAGCCGCGGACAAAGCCGCGCCCAAAAAUAAGCGCCCGAAGGUCGUGGUGCCAAAACCCCCCAGCGGAAAAAUGGCCAAAAAACGGGUGGGCUAUAGCCUUGGUGGGGGGCGCGGGCGAGGUUCGUCCGCCGGACUUGGAAUGGGGCGAGACUUUGCGAGGCGACUCGGGGUGCCCGCGGGAAGUCGCGGGCACAGCCGCGUCCAGAAAUAAGCGCCCGAAGGUCGUGGUGCCAAAACCCCCCGGCGGAAAAAACGCCAAAAAACGGGUGGGCUAUAGCCUUGGUGGGGGGCGCGGGCGAAGUUCGUCCGCCGGACUCGGAAUGGGGCGAGACUUUGCGAGGGGCCUCGGGGUGCCAAAAAUAGGCCGCGGGCAAAGCCGCACCCAAAAAUAAUCGCCCAAAGGUCGUGGUGCCAAAACCCCCCAGCGGAAAAAUGGCCAAAAAACGGGUGGGCUAUAGCCUUGGUGGGGUGCGCGGGCGAAGUUCGUCCGCCGGACUCGGAAUGGGACGAGACUUUGCGAGGGGCCUCGGGGAACCAAAAAUAAGCCGCGGGCAAAGCCGCGCCCAAAAAUAAGCGCCCGAAGCUCGUGGUGCCAAAACCCCCCGGCGGAAAAAUGGCCAAAAAACGGGUGGGCUAUAGCCUUGGUGGGGGGCGCGGGCGAAGUUCGUCCGCCGGACUCGGAAUGGGGCGAGACUUUGCGCGGGGCCUCGGGGUGCCAAAAAUAAGCCGCGGGCAAAGCCGCGCCCAAAAAGAAGCGCCCGAAGGUCGUGGUGCCAAAACCCCCCAGCGGAAAAAUGGCCAAAAAACGGGUGGGCUAUAGCCUUGGUGGGGGGCGCGGGCGAAGUUCGUCCGCCGGACUCGGAAUGGGGCGAGACUUUGCGAGGGGCCUCGGGGUGCCAAAAAUAAGCCGCGGGCAAAGCCGCGCCCAAAAAUAAUCGCCCAAAGGUCGUGGUGCCAAAACCCCCCAGCGGAAAAAUGGCCAAAAAAUGGGUGGGCUAUAGCCUUGGUGGGGGGCGCGGGCGAAGUUCGUCCACCGGACUCGGAAUGGGGCGAGACUUUGCGCGGGGCCUCGGGGUGCCAAAAAUAAGUCGCGGGCAAAGCCGCGCCCAAAAAUAAGCGCCCGAAGGUCGUGGUGCCAAAACCCCCCAGCGGAAAAAUGGCCAAAAAACGGGUGGGCUACAGCCUUGGUGGGGGGCGCGGGCGAAGUUCGUCCGCCGGACUCGGAAUGCGGCGAGACUUUGCGAGGGGCCUCGGGGCACCAAAAAUAAGCCGCGGGCAAAGCCGCGCCCAAAAAUAAGUGCCCGAAGGUCGUGGUGCCAAAACCCCCCAGCGGAAAAAUGGCCAAAAAACGGGUGGGCUAUAGCCUUGGUGGGGGGCGCGGGCGAAGUUCGUCCGCCGGACUCGGAAUGGGGCGAGACAUUGCGAGGGGCCUCGGGGCGCCAAAAAUAAGCCGCGGGCAAAGCCGCGCCCAAAAAUAAGGGCCCGAAGGUCGUGGUGCCAAAACCCCCCAGCGGAAAAAUGGCCAAAAAACGGGUGGGCUAUAGCCUUGGUGGGGGGCGCGGGCGAAGUUCGUCCUCCGGACUUGGAAUGGGGCGAGACUUUGCGCGGGGCCUCGGGGCACCAAAAAUAAGCCGCGGGCAAAGCCGCGCCCAAAAAUAAGCGCCCGAAGGUCGUGGUGCCAAAACCCCCCAGCGGAAAAAUGGCCAAUAAACGGGUGGGCUAUAGCCUUGGUGGGGGGCGCGGGCGAAGUUCGUCCGCCGGACUCGGAAUGGGGUGAGACUUUGCGAGGGGCCUCGAGGUGCCCGCGGGAAGUCGCGGGCACAGCCGCGUCCAGAAAUAAGCGCCCGAAGGUCGUGGUGCCAAAACCCCCCAGCGGAAAAAUGGCCAAAAAACGGGUGGCCUAUAGCCUUGGUGGGGGGCGCGGGCGAAGUUCGUCCGCCGGACUCGGAAUGGGGCGAGACUUUGUGAGGGGCCUCGGGGUGCCAAAAAUAGGCCGCGGGCAAAGCCGCACCCAAAAAUAAUCGCCCAAAGGUCGUGGUGCCAAAACCCCCCAGCGGAAAAAUGGCCAAAAAACGGGUGGGCUAUAGCCUUGGUGGGGUGCGCGGGCGAAGUUCGUCCGCCGGACUCGGAAUAGGACGAGACUUUGCGAGGGGCCUCGGGGAACCAAAAAUAAGCCGCGGGCAAAGCCGCGCCCAAAAAUAAGCGCCCGAAGCUCGUGGUGCCAAAACCCCCCGGCGGAAAAAUGGCCAAAAAACGGGUGGGCUAUAGCCUUGGUGGGGGGCGCGGGCGAAGUUCGUCCGCCGGACUCGGAAUGGGGCGAGACUUUGCGCGGGGCCUCGGGGUGCCAAAAAUAAGCCGCGGGCAAAGCCGCGCCCAAAAAGAAGCGCCCGAAGGUCGUGGUGCCAAAACCCCCCAGCGGAAAAAUGGCCAAAAAACGGGUGGGCUAUAGCCUUGGUGGGGGGCGCGGGCGAAGUUCGUCCGCCGGACUCGGAAUGGGGCGAGACUUUGCGCGGGGCCUCGGGGCACCAAAAAUAAGCCGCGGGCAAAGCCGCGCCCAAAAAUAAGCGCCCGAAGGUCGUGGUGCCAAAACCCCCCAGCGGAAAAAUGGCCAAAAAACGGGUGGGCUAUAGCCUUGGUGGGGGGCGCGGGCGAAGUUCGUCCGCCGGACUCGGAAUGGGGCGAGAAUUUGCGAGGGGCCUCGGGGCGCCCGCGGGAAGUCGCGGGCACAGCCAAGUCCAAAAAUAAGCGCCCGAAGGUCGUGGUGCCAAAACCCCCCAGCGGAAAAAUGGCCAAAAAACGGGUGUGCUAUAGCCUUGGUGGGGGGCGCGGGCGAAGUUCGUCCGCCGGACUCGGAAUGGGGCGAGACUUUACGAGGGGCCUCGGGGUACCCGCGGGAAGUCGCGGGCACAGCCGCGUCCAGAAAUAAGCGCCCGAAGGUCGUGGUGCCAAAACCCCCCAGCGGAAAAAUGGCCAAAAAACGGGUGGGCUAUAGCCUUGGUGGGGGGCGCGGGCGAAGUUCGUCCGCCGGACUCGAAAUGGGGCGAGACUUUGCGAGGGGCCUCGGGGCACCAAAAAUAAGCCGCGGGCAAAGCCGCGCCCGAAGGUCGUGGUGCCAAAACCCCCCAGCGGAAAAAUGGCCAAAAAACGGGUGGGCUAUAGCCUUGGUGGGGGGCGCAGGCGAAGUUCGUCCGCUGGACUCGGAAUGGGGCGAGACUUUACGAGGGGCCUCGGGGCGCCAAAAAUAAGCCGCAGGCAAAGCCGCGCCCAAAAAUAAGUGCCCGAAGGUCGUGGUGCCAAAACCCCCCAGCCGAAAAAUGGCCAAAAAACGGGUGGGCUAUAGCCUUGGUGGGGGGCGCGGGCGAAGUUCGUCCGCCGGACUCAGAAUGGGGCGAGCCUUUGCGAGGUGCCUCGGGGUGCCAAAAAUAAGCCGCGGGCAAAGCCGCGCCCAAAAAUAAUUGCCCAAAGGUCGUGGUGCCAAAACCCCCCAGCGGAAAAAUGGCCAAAAAACGGGUGGGCUAUAGCCUUGGUGGGGGGCUCGGGGAAGUUCGUCCGCGGACUCGGAAUGGGGCGCGACUUUGCGAGGGGCCUCGGGGUGCCCGCGGGAAGUCGCGGGCACAGCCGCGCCCAAAAAUAAGCGCCCGAAGGUCGUGGUGCCCAAACCUCCCAGCGGAAAAAUGGCCAAAAAACGGGUGGGCUAUAGCCUUGGUGGGGGGCGCGGGCGAAGUUCGUCCGCCGGACUCGGAAUGGGGCGAGACUUUACGAGGGGCCUCGGGGUGCCCGCGGGAAGUCGCGGGCACAGCCGCGUCCAGAAAUAAGCGCCCGAAGGUCGUGGUGCCAAAACCCCCCGGCGGAAAAAUGGCCAAAAAACGGGUGGGCUAUAGCCUUGGUGGGGGGCGCGGGCGAAGUUCGUCCGCCGGACUCGGAAUGGGGCGAGACUUUGCGCGGGGCCUCGGGUCGCCAAAAAUAAGCCGCGGGCAAAGCCGCGCCCAAAAAUAAGCGCCCGAAGGUCGUGGUGCCAAAACCCCCCAGCGGAAAAAUGGCCAAAAAACGGGUGGGCUAUAGCCUUGGUGGGGGGCGCGGGCGAAGUUCGUCCGCCGGACUUGGAAUGGGGCGAGACUUUGCGCAGGGCCUCGGGGUGCCCGCGGGAAGUCGCGGGCACAGCCGCGUCCAGAAAUAAGCGCCCGAAGGUCGUGGUGCCAAAACCCCCCAGCGGAAAAAUGGCCAAAAAACGGGUGGGCUAUAGCCUUGGUGGGGGGCGCGUGCGAAGUUCGUCCGCCGGACACGGAGUGGGACGAGACUUUGCGAGGGGCCUCGGGGCACCAAAAAUAAGCCGCAGGCAAAGCCGCGCCCAAAAAUAAGCGCCCGAAGGUCGUGGUGCCAAAACCCCCCAGCGGAAAAAUGGCCAAAAAACGGGUGGGCUAUAGCCUUGGUGGGGGGCGCGGGCGAAGUUCGUCCGCCGGACUCGGAAUGGGGCGAGACUUUACGAGGGGCCUCGGGGUGCCCGCGGGAAGUCGCGGGCACAGCCGCGUCCAGAAAUAAGCGCCCGAAGGUCGUGGUGCCAAAACCCCCCAGCGGAAAAAUGGCCAAAAAACGGGUGGGCUAUAGCCUUGGUGGGGGGCGCGGGCGAAGUUCGUCCGCCGGACUCGGAAUGGGGCGAGACUUUGCGAGGGGCCUCGGGGUGCCAAAAAUAAGCCGCGGGCAAAGCCGCGCCCAAAAAUAAGCACCCAAAGGUCGUGGUGCCAAAACCCCCCAACGGAAAAAUGGCCAAAAAACGGGUGGGCUAUAGCCUUGGUGGGGGGCGCAGGCGAAGUUCGUCCGCCGGACUCGGAAUGGGGCGAGCCUUUGCGAGGGGCCUCGGGGUGCCAAAAAUAAGCCGCGGCCAAGGCCGUGCCCAAAAAUAAGCGCCCGAAGGUCGUGGUGCCAAAACCCCCCAGCGGAAAAAUGGCCAAAAAACGGGUGGGCUAUAGCCUUGGUGGGGGGCGCGGGCGAAGUUCGUCCGCCGGACUCGGAAUGGGGCGAGACUUUGCGAGGGGCCUCGGGGUGCCCGCGGGAAGUCGCGGGAACAACCGCGUCCAAAAAUAAACGCCCGAAGGUCGUGGUGCCAAAACCCCCUAGCGGAAAAAUGGCCAAAAAACGGGUGGGCUAUAGCCUUGGUGGUGGGCG